UACGUAGGUGGCAAGCGUUGUCCGGAAUUAUUGGGCGUAAAGCGUGCGUAGGCGGUUCGUUAAGUUCGUUGUGAAAGCCCCGGGCUCAACCUGGGAACUGCAAUGGAAACUGGCGGGCUUGAGUGUGGCAGAGGGGGGUGGAAUUCCGCGUGUAGCAGUGAAAUGCGUAGAGAUGCGGAGGAACACCGAUGGCGAAGGCAAUCCCCUGGGCCUGCACUGACGCUCAUGCACGAAAGCGUGGGGAGCAAACAGG
Molecule: ribosomal RNA, 253 nt
Filed under: uncultured bacterium
Lineage: Bacteria
Description: partial 16S ribosomal RNA
Rfam family: Bacterial small subunit ribosomal RNA
Source: RNAcentral